ACAAGUCUUUAUUCUCUCCUCCUCUUUAAAAAUAUUUCUCCAUAUUAUUAAGGCUUUUUAAGGCUUUGGAAUUUCAAUAAAGAAUCACGUUUUCAGCAAUUUUGUUUUCCACGUUCAUCUUCAAACGGUGAGAUGCUCAGUGCUAUUAGUGGUUUGUCCACAUCUUUUCAAAUACGUUGUUAUGUAUGGAUUUAAUUACUUCAAUUCAGAGCUCCUAUGGGAGAAAUCAUGAUACAGUUUAAGGCACAAUUUAGCCUUCACGUUAUUUGCAGCGCUUGCUUGAAUUAUCAUUUGUCAUUGUGUGAUAAUUCUCAUGUUAUGUUGAUAAGAGAAUUUAUGCAUAAUUUCACAUUUGAUUUGAAUGUGGAGUAGCAAGUAUCUCAUUGAGUAUAAUUCGUUAUACUCAUCCCUCUCUAUUUAAAAUUUUCAGGUAGAAAUUAGUAUGCUGGACGGCGGUGGAUGGAUGCAUAUUGGACCAAUGGAUCUCCAUCAUGAAGUACUUUAAUUUUUAGAAACACUAGAAUAUUUAUUAACAUUUGAUUAUUAUUAUUUUUAAAUUUAGACUCAAUUGUGAGUCACGUCAUAACUUUCAAUUAGUCCUAUUUUUAUUAUUUGUUAGAACUACUUUUAUUAAUGUUUGAUAAAAGAUAUGAUUCCAAAUUGUUCCGC
Molecule: long non-coding RNA, 669 nt
Filed under: Olea europaea (common olive)
Lineage: Eukaryota; Viridiplantae; Streptophyta; Magnoliopsida; Lamiales; Oleaceae
Description: long non-coding RNA (OEUR_LNC010897)
Source: RNAcentral